CAACCGCCGAGGUGGAGCUAUCUCUAAAACCGUUCUCAGUUCGGAUUGUAGGCUGCAACUCGCCUACAUGAAGCUGGAAUCGCUAGUAAUCGCGGAUCAGCAUGCCGCGGUGAAUACGUUCCCGGGCCUUGUACACACCGCCCGUCACACCACGAGAGUUUGUAACACCCGAAGUCGGUGGGGUAACCUUUUGGAGCCAGCCGCCUAAGGUGGGACAGAUGAUUGGGGUGAAGUCGUAACAAGGUAGCCGUAUAUUGGGCUGUUAGGGCCGAACCAAAUGUUUUUGUCCCUGUUAGGCGGCCUAAUCCUAAGUACCCCCCCCCCGAUUUCGAUU
RNAcentral lists this ribosomal RNA (334 nucleotides) under Bacillus cereus. Its description in RNAcentral is "partial 16S ribosomal RNA". The stretch from base 1 to 284 matches the Rfam family "Bacterial small subunit ribosomal RNA", at positions 1250 to 1533 of the family's 1533-position model. The record is from RNAcentral. Lineage: Bacteria; Bacillati; Bacillota; Bacilli; Caryophanales; Bacillaceae.